AUGUCCCACAUACCUAAGAAAGCCGGGGAGGGUGGAACACCGAUAGACAGGAGAGGGUCCAAAUCAGAUGCAGAUUUUAAGGCAGAAAUAUUGAAAAUGUUCGGUGAAAUUAGACAGAGCGAAAAGAAUAUGGAGGAUAAAUUGGAGCAUGUGAACACAAGAAUAGAACAGGUGGAUAUGAGAAUUGGGAAAAUGGACCAAAAGAUUGACGAGACUGUAAAAGAAUUAAGAGGCCAAAUCAAAGAGGUCUCUAAAAGAACACAAUCUCUGGAAGAAGGAAUGAAAAAAACAAGAGUAGAAAUGAAGGAAAUAAAACGGGAAGAAGAGAAACUAAAAGCAGGAUUAUCCGAAGUUAACAAAAUGCAGGAGGAAGUCUGGGAUGCUAUCGCGAUGAACGAAUUGAGGCAACGGGAGGUGAACCUCAGGCUGAGAGCAAUCCCGGAAACACAAGGCGAAAAUAUCAGAGAGAAAUUGUUAAUAGAAAUUGCAAAAUGGUUGGCAAUACAAAAAGAAGUGGAAAGAGCAGUUCAAAAUGCGUUUAGAAUAAGAACAAGAACAACUAGAACAAAGAAAAUGCCAGGAGAUUGUCUGAUCACUUUUAAAGAUAAAGAUAUGAGGAACCUAAUUCUGCAAAAAAAUAGAGAAAGAAGAUUAAACAUCGAUGGGAACUAUAUAAUCAUCUUUAAAGAUAUCCCAGUGAGAUUGUUGAAACGAAGAGACCCAUAUAAGCCAUUGGUCCAAAUCCUCAAGAAGAAUAAGAUUGAAUUUAAAUGGGAAUUCCCUCAAGGGAUCUCAUUUAUUUACAAAAGCAAGAAACAUAGAAUUACUAGCCCGGAAGAAACAAGCAAAUUUCUGAGACGCUACAAGGAGUUGACGGUAGAAGAAGAGGAAGAAAGAGGAGCAGUAGGAGGAGUCAGUUUACUGGAGAGGAAGUACUUGGAAGAGGAGGGAAAGGAAAACGCAGAAUUUGUAGAAGAGGAGGGGGAGGAGGAAAAAGAGGAAGGGCCAGAGAUUGUGACUCUUAUCUUCAUACUGCAGGCAACAUCCCAGC
Molecule: long non-coding RNA, 1051 nt
Filed under: Podarcis muralis (Common wall lizard)
Lineage: Eukaryota; Metazoa; Chordata; Lepidosauria; Squamata; Lacertidae
Description: lncRNA (ENSPMRG00000013596.1)
Source: RNAcentral